This 498-nucleotide ribosomal RNA is filed under the name uncultured bacterium. Its description in RNAcentral is "partial 16S ribosomal RNA". It matches the Rfam family "Bacterial small subunit ribosomal RNA", at positions 28 to 507 of the family's 1533-position model. The record is from RNAcentral.
GACGAACGCUGGCGGCGUGCCUAAUACAUGCAAGUCGAGCGGACGAAUCGAAAGCUUGCUUUUGAUUCGUUAGCGGCGGACGGGUGAGUAACACGUGGGCAACCUGCCCUGUAGACGGGGAUAACACCGAGAAAUCGGUGCUAAUACCGGAUAACACGAAAUGUCGCAUGACGUUUCGUUGAAAGACGGCGCACGCUGCCGCUACAGGAUGGGCCCGCGGCGCAUGAGCUAGUUGGUGAGGUAACGGCUCACCAAGGCGACGAUACGUAGCCGACCUGAGAGGGUGAUCGGCCACACUGGAACUGAGACACGGCCCAGACUCCUACGGGAGGCAGCAGUAGGGAAUCUUCCGCAAUGGACGAAAGUCUGACGGAGCAACGCCGCGUGAGCGAAGAAGGCCUUCGGGUCGUAAAGCUCUGUUGUUAGGGAAGAACAAGUAACGCAGUAACUGGCGUUACCGUGACGGUACCUAACGAGAAAGCCACGGCUAACUACGUG